RNAcentral lists this ribosomal RNA (460 nucleotides) under uncultured Planctomycetaceae bacterium. RNAcentral's name for it is "bacterial SSU rRNA". It matches the Rfam family "Bacterial small subunit ribosomal RNA", at positions 29 to 505 of the family's 1533-position model. Lineage: Bacteria; Pseudomonadati; Planctomycetota; Planctomycetia; Planctomycetales; Planctomycetaceae. The record is from RNAcentral.
AAUGAACGUUGGCGGCGUGGAUUAGGCAUGCAAGUCGAGCGAGAAACUUUUUAAAGAUACUUCGGUUGAUUUAAAAAGCGGACAGCGGCGAAAGGGAGAGUAACGAGUAGAUACGUACCCAGGGGUCCGGGAUAGCCAUGCGAAAGCGUGAGUAAUACCGGAUAAUGUCUCCGGACCAAAGAUUUAUUGCCCUUGGAGCGGUCUGCUUACUAUUAGCUUGUUGGUGGGGUAAAGGCCUACCAAGGCGAAGAUGGUUAGCGGGUGUGAGAGCAUGGCCCGUCUCACUGGGACUGAGACACUGCCCAGACACCUACGGGUGGCUGCAGUCGAGAAUCUUCCGCAAUGGACGAAAGUCUGACGGAGCGACGCCGCGUGCGGGAUGAAGGCCUUCGGGUUGUAAACCGCUGUCGUAGGGGAGGAAAUUUUGACCGAUCCUAGGAGGAAGCGCAGGCUAAGUUCG